GACAGGUUAGUUUUACCC
RNAcentral lists this small nuclear RNA (18 nucleotides) under Arabidopsis thaliana (thale cress). RNAcentral describes it as "snRNA_05192". Lineage: Eukaryota; Viridiplantae; Streptophyta; Magnoliopsida; Brassicales; Brassicaceae. The record is from RNAcentral.